RNAcentral lists this ribosomal RNA (2925 nucleotides) under Escherichia coli. RNAcentral's name for it is "23S ribosomal RNA". It matches the Rfam family "Bacterial large subunit ribosomal RNA". The record is from RNAcentral. Lineage: Bacteria; Pseudomonadati; Pseudomonadota; Gammaproteobacteria; Enterobacterales; Enterobacteriaceae.
GGGUUGUGAGGUUAAGCGACUAAGCGUACACGGUGGAUGCCCUGGCAGUCAGAGGCGAUGAAGGACGUGCUAAUCUGCGAUAAGCGUCGGUAAGGUGAUAUGAACCGUUAUAACCGGCGAUUUCCGAAUGGGGAAACCCAGUGUGUUUCGACACACUAUCAUUAACUGAAUCCAUAGGUUAAUGAGGCGAACCGGGGGAACUGAAACAUCUAAGUACCCCGAGGAAAAGAAAUCAACCGAGAUUCCCCCAGUAGCGGCGAGCGAACGGGGAGCAGCCCAGAGCCUGAAUCAGUGUGUGUGUUAGUGGAAGCGUCUGGAAAGGCGCGCGAUACAGGGUGACAGCCCCGUACACAAAAAUGCACAUGCUGUGAGCUCGAUGAGUAGGGCGGGACACGUGGUAUCCUGUCUGAAUAUGGGGGGACCAUCCUCCAAGGCUAAAUACUCCUGACUGACCGAUAGUGAACCAGUACCGUGAGGGAAAGGCGAAAAGAACCCCGGCGAGGGGAGUGAAAAAGAACCUGAAACCGUGUACGUACAAGCAGUGGGAGCACGCUUAGGCGUGUGACUGCGUACCUUUUGUAUAAUGGGUCAGCGACUUAUAUUCUGUAGCAAGGUUAACCGAAUAGGGGAGCCGAAGGGAAACCGAGUCUUAACUGGGCGUUAAGUUGCAGGGUAUAGACCCGAAACCCGGUGAUCUAGCCAUGGGCAGGUUGAAGGUUGGGUAACACUAACUGGAGGACCGAACCGACUAAUGUUGAAAAAUUAGCGGAUGACUUGUGGCUGGGGGUGAAAGGCCAAUCAAACCGGGAGAUAGCUGGUUCUCCCCGAAAGCUAUUUAGGUAGCGCCUCGUGAAUUCAUCUCCGGGGGUAGAGCACUGUUUCGGCAAGGGGGUCAUCCCGACUUACCAACCCGAUGCAAACUGCGAAUACCGGAGAAUGUUAUCACGGGAGACACACGGCGGGUGCUAACGUCCGUCGUGAAGAGGGAAACAACCCAGACCGCCAGCUAAGGUCCCAAAGUCAUGGUUAAGUGGGAAACGAUGUGGGAAGGCCCAGACAGCCAGGAUGUUGGCUUAGAAGCAGCCAUCAUUUAAAGAAAGCGUAAUAGCUCACUGGUCGAGUCGGCCUGCGCGGAAGAUGUAACGGGGCUAAACCAUGCACCGAAGCUGCGGCAGCGACGCUUAUGCGUUGUUGGGUAGGGGAGCGUUCUGUAAGCCUGUGAAGGUGUGCUGUGAGGCAUGCUGGAGGUAUCAGAAGUGCGAAUGCUGACAUAAGUAACGAUAAAGCGGGUGAAAAGCCCGCUCGCCGGAAGACCAAGGGUUCCUGUCCAACGUUAAUCGGGGCAGGGUGAGUCGACCCCUAAGGCGAGGCCGAAAGGCGUAGUCGAUGGGAAACAGGUUAAUAUUCCUGUACUUGGUGUUACUGCGAAGGGGGGACGGAGAAGGCUAUGUUGGCCGGGCGACGGUUGUCCCGGUUUAAGCGUGUAGGCUGGUUUUCCAGGCAAAUCCGGAAAAUCAAGGCUGAGGCGUGAUGACGAGGCACUACGGUGCUGAAGCAACAAAUGCCCUGCUUCCAGGAAAAGCCUCUAAGCAUCAGGUAACAUCAAAUCGUACCCCAAACCGACACAGGUGGUCAGGUAGAGAAUACCAAGGCGCUUGAGAGAACUCGGGUGAAGGAACUAGGCAAAAUGGUGCCGUAACUUCGGGAGAAGGCACGCUGAUAUGUAGGUGAAGCGACUUGCUCGUGGAGCUGAAAUCAGUCGAAGAUACCAGCUGGCUGCAACUGUUUAUUAAAAACACAGCACUGUGCAAACACGAAAGUGGACGUAUACGGUGUGACGCCUGCCCGGUGCCGGAAGGUUAAUUGAUGGGGUUAGCGCAAGCGAAGCUCUUGAUCGAAGCCCCGGUAAACGGCGGCCGUAACUAUAACGGUCCUAAGGUAGCGAAAUUCCUUGUCGGGUAAGUUCCGACCUGCACGAAUGGCGUAAUGAUGGCCAGGCUGUCUCCACCCGAGACUCAGUGAAAUUGAACUCGCUGUGAAGAUGCAGUGUACCCGCGGCAAGACGGAAAGACCCCGUGAACCUUUACUAUAGCUUGACACUGAACAUUGAGCCUUGAUGUGUAGGAUAGGUGGGAGGCUUAGAAGUGUGGACGCCAGUCUGCAUGGAGCCGACCUUGAAAUACCACCCUUUAAUGUUUGAUGUUCUAACGUUGACCCGUAAUCCGGGUUGCGGACAGUGUCUGGUGGGUAGUUUGACUGGGGCGGUCUCCUCCUAAAGAGUAACGGAGGAGCACGAAGGUUGGCUAAUCCUGGUCGGACAUCAGGAGGUUAGUGCAAUGGCAUAAGCCAGCUUGACUGCGAGCGUGACGGCGCGAGCAGGUGCGAAAGCAGGUCAUAGUGAUCCGGUGGUUCUGAAUGGAAGGGCCAUCGCUCAACGGAUAAAAGGUACUCCGGGGAUAACAGGCUGAUACCGCCCAAGAGUUCAUAUCGACGGCGGUGUUUGGCACCUCGAUGUCGGCUCAUCACAUCCUGGGGCUGAAGUAGGUCCCAAGGGUAUGGCUGUUCGCCAUUUAAAGUGGUACGCGAGCUGGGUUUAGAACGUCGUGAGACAGUUCGGUCCCUAUCUGCCGUGGGCGCUGGAGAACUGAGGGGGGCUGCUCCUAGUACGAGAGGACCGGAGUGGACGCAUCACUGGUGUUCGGGUUGUCAUGCCAAUGGCACUGCCCGGUAGCUAAAUGCGGAAGAGAUAAGUGCUGAAAGCAUCUAAGCACGAAACUUGCCCCGAGAUGAGUUCUCCCUGACUCCUUGAGAGUCCUGAAGGAACGUUGAAGACGACGACGUUGAUAGGCCGGGUGUGUAAGCGCAGCGAUGCGUUGAGCUAACCGGUACUAAUGAACCGUGAGGCUUAACCUUACAACGCCGAAG